Molecule: ribosomal RNA, 322 nt
Filed under: uncultured eukaryote
Lineage: Eukaryota
Description: partial 18S ribosomal RNA
Rfam family: Eukaryotic small subunit ribosomal RNA
Source: RNAcentral
CCCUUAGAUGUUCUGGGCCGCACGCGUGCUACACUGAGUGGAUCAGCGGGUCAGGUUGCGCGAAAGCGUUUCCUAAUCUUGAAAUCCGCUCGUGAUGGGGAUUGACGGUUGCAAUUUUCUGUCAUGAACGAGGAAUACCUUGUAAGCGCGGGUCAUCAUCCCGCGCUGAAUACGUCCCUGCCCUUUGUACACACCGCCCGUCGCGCCUACCGAUUGAGUGGUCCGGUGAGGCUUUGGGAUCUGAGCGGAAAGAGCGUUUCGCUCGUUCUGCCCGGAAAACUCAGUCGAACCUUAUCAUUUAGAGGAAGGAGAAGUCGUAACA